This 130-nucleotide transfer RNA is filed under the name Nanobdellota archaeon. RNAcentral's name for it is "tRNA-OTHER". It matches the Rfam family "tRNA". From Rfam's summary of the family: Transfer RNA (tRNA) molecules are approximately 80 nucleotides in length. The record is from RNAcentral. Lineage: Archaea; Nanobdellati; Nanobdellota.
GCGGGAGUGCCGGAGUCUGGAAAACGGGCAGGAACAAGUUUCUAUUUGAAAUUGUUGCCAAACUUAAGUUUUCCACAAGAAGACAUCCUGUGGCUUAGUGCCUACGCAGGUUCAAAUCCUGUCUCCCGCA